Long non-coding RNA from Junco hyemalis (dark-eyed junco), 1548 nucleotides. The record is from Ensembl. Lineage: Eukaryota; Metazoa; Chordata; Aves; Passeriformes; Passerellidae.
ACUUUUCAGAGCCAAUAAAGACAUUGUGCUGGUUUUGUUUUUUCUUUAUUUAGAUACUGACCGAGCUUUAGUACUGCUGGAAGAAUAUUGCAAAAAACUACGGAAGCCAGAAGAGCAACAGCUGAAAAAAGCCAUCAGAAAGGUGAUGGGCAUCUUUAAGAGCAGCUUGUUUCAGGCACUUCUAGAUAGCUUCAAAAAGAAAGCAACCAGACAUGGAACUACCUCCCACACUUCACUGCCAGCGGCUUUUGCAUGUGAUGUCCUUGGAAACCCAAAAGAUUAGCCAGUCUCAUCCACCUGGCCCAUGUCACAGGGAUCAAGGACAUUUCUCCAUCUGCAAACUUAAGCUCAUGGUAAGUAUAUCUUUUUACUAAGUUGCACAGAAUUUUCUUAAUAAACAGUGUUACUGCUUUUUAUUUUGUAAUGACACUGAAGGACAGUUAUUUGUGUCUGCCAAUUGUCAUGAAUUUAUUAAAUGAAGGAAAGGCUGUAAUACAGUCUAAGAAAGAUAGCUUUGUGAAGGCUAAUAUGAAAUAGAAGAGUUAAUAUUCCUUUCUUUUCUUUUUCAGCUCUCUGAAAGUGAAGAGAACAAAUUGAAAGUUAGAGUCUGAGACGACUAAUAGGGACAUCUCAUUCUUGAUGGGGGCAACAGUCCUCUCAUGUGGCAAUGCAUUAUCAGCAACAAAGAAGGUUCUUCUACUCUGGUAUUUUUCAGAGUUGAACUUCAGCUAUCAGCCUGCACCCUAGGACCAUUACUGACCACUACAACUGCAUCACUUGCAUCCUGGCACAUUUUGACAUCCAGGAGAACUCAAUACUUCUGCUAUAAAGAAUGUGGACAUGAAGAUCAGCUUGUAUAUUUGUGUCCCUGAAUGUUUUCCACUUGAGGAAAAACCCUGUGUGCUAUUGGAUAAGGUCCUGAAACAUAAUUUAAAAGCAUCAUCAGCAGGAAAAACCCAUCAUGAAGUGGGAGAAAGUCUUCUUGAACAUUAUUCAUUUGAAUGAUGGAGCUGUGUAGAAGCAGAUAUUGAGAAGAUGCAGCUGAUGUGUGACCGAGUACCAAAUGGACAUCCUUAGAGAAGACAGUUCUAACUUCCCUAAGUCAUCACUACUCUCUUAGUAGGCCAUAUUUUUUAGGGAAUCACUCAGCAUGUGUGUCAGCUUUCCCAGACCUAAAUUAUUUUAAGCUGCAUAUUUCUUUCGGAGUGAAAAUUUGAGAUCCUGCAGCCCAUGAAUUGCUGUGAAGACAUGGAAGCCAGAUUCCUCACUUUUAAGGGACUGGUGUGGUGGCAUACAGGAGUCUAAUGUUCCAUGCAAUUUAUGAUUUUCCACUUUAUUGAAGAAAUAAUUCUGUUUGUAGUUUUAUGAAUUUGCAGUCUUGAAUACCCAGUACUGCAGGUCACAAUUUUAUCUAUAGGCUGUUCCAUCUUAAGUGAAGAAACACUAUAUGUUGUUAAAACCCUGAUCUCCAAGAGUUUGUAAAAAGAAAAAUUCAUGAUGGUUGACUUAAAAUGUAAUUUUUAAAAGUUGAACAUUUAUUAUUAAAGC